UGCCAGCCGCCGCGGUAAUACAGAGAGUGCAAACGUUGUUCGGAAUCACUGGGCUUAAAGCGCGCGUAGGCGGCAUAGCAAGUGUCGGGUGAAAGCCCACGGCUCACCCGUGGAAUUGCCCGGCAAACUGCUGUGCUAGAGUAUGGUAGGGGAGAGCGGAACUCCUGGUGGAGCGGUGAAAUGCGUAGAUAUCAGGAGGAACACCGGUGGCGAAGGCGGCUCUCUGGUCCAUUACUGACGCUGAGGUGCGAAAGCUAGGGUAGCGAACGGGAUUAGAUA
Molecule: ribosomal RNA, 279 nt
Filed under: uncultured bacterium
Lineage: Bacteria
Description: partial 16S ribosomal RNA
Rfam family: Bacterial small subunit ribosomal RNA
Source: RNAcentral